Molecule: long non-coding RNA, 159 nt
Organism: Mauremys reevesii (Reeves's turtle)
Lineage: Eukaryota; Metazoa; Chordata; Testudines; Geoemydidae
Exons: 3
Source: RefSeq, a predicted model, not a curated record
GACAGAUGAACAUGAGAUCUACUUUCAUCAGAAGACUGCAGUAGCAGGUGGAAGACUCAAAGAGCCACACAGAAAGUUUUGGCCACCAGAGGGAAAGGGGAAGAGGAAGGAACAGCCAAAAUCAGAAGGAAAACUAGGAUCCCCGAAAAUGACUACAAG